This 402-nucleotide ribosomal RNA is filed under the name uncultured bacterium. RNAcentral describes it as "partial 16S ribosomal RNA". It matches the Rfam family "Bacterial small subunit ribosomal RNA", at positions 360 to 774 of the family's 1533-position model. The record is from RNAcentral.
AAUAUUGCACAACGGGCGAAAGCCUGAUGCAGCAACGCCGCGUGAGGGAUGACGGCCUUCGGGUUGUAAACCUCUCUGCGUAGGGAAGAAGCGAAAGUGACGGUACCAUCAGAAAAAGCACCGGUUAACUACCUGCCAGCAGCCGCGGUAAUACGGAGGGUGCAAGCGUUGUCCGGAAUUGUUGGGCGUAAAGAGCUCGUAGGCGGCUUGUCGCGUAUGCCGUGAAAACCCUGGGCUCAACCCUGUGCGUGCGGUGGGUACGGGCAGGCUAGAGUGCGGUAGGGGAGAUUGGAAUUCCUGGUGUAGCGGUGGAAUGCGCAGAUAUCAGGAGGAACACCGAUGGCGAAGGCAGAUCUCUGGGCCGUAACUGACGCUGAGGAGCGAAAGCAUGGGGAGCGACCA